Molecule: ribosomal RNA, 738 nt
Filed under: Pedobacter sp.
Lineage: Bacteria; Pseudomonadati; Bacteroidota; Sphingobacteriia; Sphingobacteriales; Sphingobacteriaceae
Description: bacterial SSU rRNA
Rfam family: Bacterial small subunit ribosomal RNA
Source: RNAcentral
UGCAACCUACCUUAAUCAGGGGGAUAGCCCGAAGAAAUUCGGAUUAACACCGCAUAAAAACACAGGAUAGCAUUAUCCAAUGUUCAAAUAUUUAUAGGAUUAAGAUGGGCAUGCGUGUCAUUAGCUAGUUGGCGGGGUAACGGCCCACCAAGGCGACGAUGACUAGGGGAUCUGAGAGGAUGACCCCCCACACUGGUACUGAGACACGGACCAGACUCCUACGGGAGGCAGCAGUAAGGAAUAUUGGUCAAUGGAGGCAACUCUGAACCAGCCAUGCCGCGUGCAGGAAGACUGCCCUAUGGGUUGUAAACUGCUUUUAUCCGGGAAUAAACCUACUUACGUGUAAGUAGCUGAAUGUACCGGAAGAAUAAGGAUCGGCUAACUCCGUGCCAGCAGCCGCGGUAAUACGGAGGAUCCAAGCGUUAUCCGGAUUUAUUGGGUUUAAAGGGUGCGUAGGCGGCCUGUUAAGUCAGAGGUGAAAGACGGUAGCUCAACUAUCGCAGUGCCUUUGAUACUGAUGGGCUUGAAUGAACUAGAGGUAGGCGGAAUGAGACAAGUAGCGGUGAAAUGCAUAGAUAUGUCUCAGAACACCGAUUGCGAAGGCAGCUUACUAUGGUUUUAUUGACGCUGAGGCACGAAAGCGUGGGGAUCAAACAGGAUUAGAUACCCUGGUAGUCCACGCCCUAAACGAUGAAUACUCGCUGUUAGCGAUAUACAGUUAGCGGCUAAGCGAAAGCG